This 446-nucleotide unclassified non-coding RNA is filed under the name Bombus terrestris (buff-tailed bumblebee). RNAcentral describes it as "misc RNA ENSBTSG00005022602.1". The record is from RNAcentral. Lineage: Eukaryota; Metazoa; Arthropoda; Insecta; Hymenoptera; Apidae.
UGUAAACAUCAGGCAUUGACUAUGUAAAUAUUAUCCCAAUGGAGGGCGCUUCUUUAUAAGGCUCAUGUAUAUACGUCGAACCACUGGACGCAAUUAAUUCAGAUGAGCGUCACAGGUGGCGUUUUUUCAACGUUAGUGGAUCAGUGGCGCAGCUGUCUCGCGGUGCAAGAUUAUGGAAACAGACUAUCCAAGCGUUAUUCUACCGUGAGUUCGCCAACGAUUCGUUCAUCCAUCUUCUAAACUCGAUCGAAGGGACAUAAAGGAACGUCGAGAGAAAUCCAAGGGCCCUGUACGUUCGAUUUCGCAGGAACUUCGUUUAACCCUGAUAAUCGUCGAAUACAAAGCUUUGGAAUCAUCGACGAAGAUGGAAAUCUCGUGCGGAAUCUUAAAAAGAACCGAGAAUCUCUUGGAAAAGUAUUGGACUGAUUCGAUCGGAAUUAUUCUCC